GAUGAACGCUGGCGGCGUGCCUAAUACAUGCAAGUCGAGCGAACGGACGAGAGGCUUGCUUCUCUGAUGUUAGCGGCGGACGGGUGAGUAACACGUGGAUAACCUACCUAUAAGACUGGGAUAACUUCGGGAAACCGGAGCUAAUACCGGAUGAUAUUUUGAACCGCAUGGUUCAAAAGUGAAAGACGGUCUUGCUGUCACUUAUAGAUGGAUCCGCGCUGCAUUAGCUAGUUGGUAAGGUAACGGCUUACCAAGGCAACGAUGCAUAGCCGACCUGAGAGGGUGAUCGGCCACACUGGAACUGAGACACGGUCCAGACUCCUACGGGAGGCAGCAGUAGGGAAUCUUCCGCAAUGGGCGAAAGCCUGACGGAGCAACGCCGCGUGAGUGAUGAAGGUCUUCGGAUCGUAAAACUCUGUUAUUAGGGAAGAACAUAUGUGUAAGUAACUGUGCACAUCUUGACGGUACCUAAUCAGAAAGCCACGGCUAACUACAUG
Molecule: ribosomal RNA, 497 nt
Filed under: uncultured bacterium
Lineage: Bacteria
Description: partial 16S ribosomal RNA
Rfam family: Bacterial small subunit ribosomal RNA
Source: RNAcentral